UAAUAAGUGUUUUAUGGCACUUUUUAAAUCCAUAUCCACCUUGUGUGCAAUGUCGGCCGAUCUUCUUCAUGGAGAUCGACCAAACAUCAACCUUUAUCUUUUAACUCUUUGUCUGAAAAAUAUUAUGAAUAAACAAUUCAAAAUA
RNAcentral lists this unclassified non-coding RNA (145 nucleotides) under soil metagenome. Its description in RNAcentral is "partial internal transcribed spacer 1". The record is from RNAcentral.